This 490-nucleotide ribosomal RNA is filed under the name uncultured bacterium. RNAcentral describes it as "partial 16S ribosomal RNA". It matches the Rfam family "Bacterial small subunit ribosomal RNA", at positions 30 to 507 of the family's 1533-position model. The record is from RNAcentral.
AUUGAACGCUGGCGGCAGGCCUAACACAUGCAAGUCGAAUGGUAACAGGAAACAGCUUGCUGUUUCGCUGACGAGUGGCGGACGGGUGAGUAAUGUCUGGGAAACUGCCUGAUGGAGGGGGAUAACUACUGGAAACGGUAGCUAAUACCGCAUAACGUCGCAAGACCAAAGAGGGGGACCUUCGGGCCUCUUGCCAUCUGAUGUGCCCAGAUGGGAUUAGCUAGUAGGUGGGGUAACGGCUCACCUAGGCGACGAUCCCUAGCUGGUCUGAGAGGAUGACCAGCCACACUGGAACUGAGACACGGUCCAGACUCCUACGGGAGGCAGCAGUGGGGAAUAUUGCACAAUGGGCGCAAGCCUGAUGCAGCCAUGCCGCGUGUAUGAAGAAGGCCUUCGGGUUGUAAAGUACUUUCAGCGGGGAGGAAGGGAGUAAAGUUAAUACCUUUGCUCAUUGACGUUACCCGCAGAAGAAGCACCGGCUAACUCCGUG